CGGAAGGUGGCAGUCGGCGUUGCGGUGUCGUUUGGUCAGCGGAAGAUGGAGGAGACGUUUUUUGAGAGGAGUCUGAGGAUGGGUUUGGAGUUCUCUUCGAAUGAGAACCUCCUAGAGGGUUUGGGGGUGGGAAAACCCUAGGGUUUCUGAAGAAAGAUUGGGCUUGGGUUUUUUUUGUUUUUUUUAUUUUAUUAUUUUGUUUUCAUUUUUAUGUUUCUGUAAUUUUUGUUUUAUUCCUUACACCUCCAUUUUUUGCUCUCAUCACACCAUCCUUUUCCUUUUUGGCAAACCAUAAAAAAGCCUUGGGCUUGGCUGGCGGGUUGGUUUUGCUUCUUGGGAACGAGAAAUCCUUAUCUGCACCCCAUUCUGUAAAAAAAAAAAAAAAGAUUUGGACCAGGGCAUGCUAUCUCGGGUUGCACCCCUAUUUUCAGCCAUACACCCCUAUGUUAUUGGGCCUGGGCCUGUCUGAGUUAUUUGAGUCGCACCUUUUUUUUUUUAUCUUUACACUCCUAUGCUUAUUGGGUAGUUCUUUUGCGUUUUUAUUUGUUGUUUGAUUGUUAAUAUUUACUACAUAUAACCCCUUUACAUGAUCACCCCACCCCCU
This 604-nucleotide long non-coding RNA is filed under the name Vigna radiata. RNAcentral's name for it is "long non-coding RNA (VRAD_LNC018212)". The record is from RNAcentral. Lineage: Eukaryota; Viridiplantae; Streptophyta; Magnoliopsida; Fabales; Fabaceae.